This 1363-nucleotide long non-coding RNA is filed under the name Pan troglodytes (chimpanzee). RNAcentral describes it as "lincRNA". Lineage: Eukaryota; Metazoa; Chordata; Mammalia; Primates; Hominidae. The record is from RNAcentral.
CACUCUCAUGUUUUUCUCUUUCAUUAGACUAUGACUCCUCGAUGGUAGCAAUUUGUAGUAAUCAAAUUUUUGUAUUUUAUUUUAGCAUCUGGCAUCUUUCUUGACACAUGUAGCAGUUGCUUUUUGACAGCUUGCUUCUUCAGUGAAUGAAUAAAUUAAUAAAGAGAAAUGUGAUGUUCAGUGAUCCAUUUUGCAGGCUCUUGAGUUUCUGCUUUCAAGUGACCCUCAGAAAUUCCCCCAUUCACUGCAGAGGUUCUGUUUCUCCUUGCUUUGUUCUGACUUUACGGCAGAACUAAGCUGAUGAGUUAGUUACUAUGGGUUAUCACUUGGAUUUGAAGAACCAUCAUUUCUAGGCAUUGCUGCUCAGAGUGGGUCUGCCCUCAGGGGAAGCUGUCUAACCAGAGCCUAACCCACUAGGGUUUUAUCAGAACCUAACUGACCUGAGGAAAAGAAAUAUUCAACUCCAGCAAGCUCCAGCCUUCCAAAUGGAGGAGAAGAAAACCCAACUCCAGCCCACUUCAGCUAUCUUGUCCCACAUAAAGGGGAAGUGGAAGAAACCUGAGAAGCAGGCAUGAAGUUCACAGUCCAGAGGUACAGACACAUCAGAGUUCAGUAUCUGAUGAAUUAGAUGCAAAAACCUCAACAAAGUAUUAGCAAAUUGAAUUCAACAAUGUAUGAAAAUUAUUACAUGCCAUGACUAAUUGGAAUUUAUCUCAGGUAUACAAGCCAUGCUGAACAUCUGAAAAUCAAUUCAUGUGAUCCAUCACAUUAGCAGACUCAAGAAAAAAAACCACAUUAUCAUAUCAGUAGAUGUAGAAAAAAAAAUUUAACAAAAUCCAGCACCCAUUCACAAUGAAAAUGCCCAGUAAAUUAGAAAUAGAAGGUAACUUCCUCAAAUUGAUAAGGAAUAUCUCUAAAAACCUACAACUAAAAUCAUACUUAAUGGUAGAAAACUAGAAGCCUUCCCAGUAAGAGUAAGAACAAGGCAAAGAUGUAUGCUCUCACCAAUGCUUUUCAACAUCAUAUAUUGGAAGUCCUAGCUAGUGCAAUAAGCAAAAAAAAAAAAAAAAAAAAAAAAGUUAUGUUAAUAAGAACAAAAACUGUGUUUGUUUGCAGAUGACAUGAUUUUCUAUGCAAAAAAUUCAAAAUAAUCAGCAACAAAAAAAAUCCUGAAACUAGUAAAUGAUUAUAGCAAGAUUUCAGGAUAUGAGAUUUAUAUACAAAGGUCAAUUACUUUCAUAUAUACAAGCAAUGAACAAGAGGGAUUUGAAAUUAAAAACGAAACUAUUUACAUUAGUACCCCCAAAAUGAAAUCCUUAUGUAUAAACUUAACAAAAUAUGUACAAGAUACAUAUGAGAAAAA